Molecule: ribosomal RNA, 435 nt
Filed under: uncultured bacterium
Lineage: Bacteria
Description: partial 16S ribosomal RNA
Rfam family: Bacterial small subunit ribosomal RNA
Source: RNAcentral
AGUGAACGCUGGCGGCAGGCCUAACACAUGCAAGUCGAACGAACAUUCCGGGGUUAGUGGCGGACGGGUGAGUAACCCGUGGGAACGUGCACUUAGGUUCGGCAUACCUCAGGGACACUUGUGCUAAUACCGAAUGUGACCUUCGGGGGAAAGAUAUAUCGCCCUUCGUGCGGCCCGCGUCUGAUUCGCUAGUUGGUUGAGGUAAUGGCGCACCAAGGCGACGAUCAGUAGUUGGUAAGAGAAGAUGAUCAGCCACAUUGGGACGGAGACACGACCCAAACUCCUACGGGAAGCAGCAGAGGGGAAACGGGCGCAAGGGGCGAGAGCCAGACGCAGCCAUGCCGCGUGAAUGAUGGAGAUCUGAGAAGAAUAAAAGUCUUUCACCGUGGACGAGAAUGGCCGGACCCGGAGAAGAAGCCCCGGCUAACUUCGUGC